GAUCGGCGGCAAGUUCCGCCUGUUUGAAACGCUGUCAGUGCCCUACGAUCCAUUCCGUUCAUAAUGCUGAAGCCUCAGAAUUGCCGAAGCAAUGCAGAUUGCACUGUGAGGGGCCAGGGGACAGGAUAACGAGGACCCCGCUCUCCAGAAAGCCACAGGCAAGGAGGAAUAGGAGCUUUUAUUUGGCAGAUGGUAACCGCUUUGCAAGCGUUGGUUAAAUUGUUUCUAGACAGAAAACAAGUACGAAUGUCAGAUUAUAGGAAGAGCCAUAACUUAGCGGGGAUGGUCGGGUUGGGCCCUUUUAAUGAGGGGUAGUUAGAGAAAACUCGGGUGGGAAUGAAAGUGGUUAGAGAAAACUCAAGGUGACAAUUUACCUGAGAGUGGUGGUAAGACAAGGAAGUAACCCAAAUUCGAGCCAGGGUAAAAACAUGCCUCAUGGAAGGCACAGCAAAAACAAAGGCCAUGCGGCAGGAGAGGACUUGGUGUGUUUCAAAACGAAUAUCCUGUGCGAGGGAAGAGUGAGGUUAAAGAUGGUGAGAAGGGCCAGGUCAUGGUUAAGGCUUUUCUGAGUCCCGAAGGUAGGAAAUGAGGGAGCCAAACACCAUUUAUUUAACUAAAGCAAGCAUGUCAAACUCACGGCCCAUAAUGAAUAUUUUUGCAGCCCAGCCAAUAUAAUGGACUUCAGAGAUUUAAACCUGGGCUUCCUCCAUCUCGCCUGAAUCGCUGUCAACUGCCUUUAAAGCUGGGAAAAGCCUUGCACUAAGAAAAUAGGAUUUUCCACACAGGCAUUUUGAACGAAGGAGUGGACCUAAAUAUUCAUUAAAUGUGUUGCCCCUUUCAUCCCUGUCAACACUCCCUUUACACAUAGCAACUUAUUUCUUUCCUAACCAGUUCUGCUCUGGUCAGCUUUGCCCGAGCUCUCCAUGUUUGAUUUAAGUCAUCUCCCUAAUCUGCAAAUAUGACCAUGUCCCUCCCCUAUUCCUAGGGUAUAAAUCCUGAACUCCUUCCUUGACAGGUCAUGCAAGAUCCACUAUAAUUGGGGCCUUUCUCUCUCUUUUGUCUGACCUCCUGAUGGUUAACCUUCAAACCCUGCAUAUUAAUACUACUGGACUGCUUGUGAUCAUAUAUAUAUUGUUUCAAGACUCAGUGCUUUUGUGCAUCUUAUUGCUUCUGCCUGAAAUGCCUUUAUUCUUCUAAUUCUUUUUAAAAAAAUAUAUUUUAUUGAUUUUUUACAGAGAGGAAGGGAGAGGGAUAGAGAGUUAGAAACAUUGAUGAGAGAGAAACAUCAAUUCAGCUGCCUCCUGCACACUCUCUACUGGGGAUGUGCCCACAACCAAGGUACAUGCCCUUGACCGGAAUCGAACCUGGGACCCUUCCGUCCGCAGGCCGAUGCUCUAUCCACUGAGCCAAACCAGUUAGGGCUCUCCUUCUAAUUCUUAUUCAACUUUCCAGACUUAACUGCCUUCCUCUGGGAUCUCACAGCAUCUUGUACUUCUUGUCAUAAACCAAGUAAAAUACAUAUGAUUGGCUAACGUGUCUGUCUCCUCCAUUGACAGUACACUAGGAGCCAUAUCUUAUUCCCCUUUGUGCCCCUACAUCAUGUACAGUGAUGUACAUGUAGAUAUUACUAACAUUUUCACCGCUUCUUGCUUCCACCUGUUGUGUGUGUGUGUGUGUGUGUGUGUGUGUUUGAAUCAUUUUCUCUGCUCCUGGUACCUUAGUUAUGCCCUAUUUUAUUUACCACCAUGGUAUGUUAAAAGGAAAAAUAUCAGCUUUCUCGCUCUGACUCAGACACCACUUCUGAGCUUUUGAUUAUUCAGCUGCUUUGGUAACAUCUACACUUGCAUGUCUCCCAGGAAUCCAAAAUCAAGAUCCGGCUAUCCUCCAGUGUUCCAUUCUUUAUCAAUGGCACCUUGUUGAGUAUGCCAGAAAGUAGAAGUCAUGCCAACUCAUUCUGUUUUCUAAAUUCCCCAAACAUCAGAUGGUUGUAUAUAUAUAUUCAUUCUUGACUUGUUAAAAAAAAUGUGCAUUAAAACACUGAAAAAAUAAAUCAGUAUAUUAACAAUGGUUUGGUGGUUUCAUGUCUCCCCGUUCUUUGAAAGUUUUCUACAGAAAGGAUGUGGUACUUACAUAAGGAGAGAAAAGAUGCUAAUGUCAUUUUUUGGAGCAGCAGAAAAUUUUCAGUCAAAUUAGACAUGCUCUGGCAGCGAAAAUCCCCCUACCGUUAAGCUGUACAGACUGUAGCACUCUGCUUCACCUGGUGGCAAUCAAAUUCCAGGAACAGACCUGAAUCUACAUUUUAAAUAGUAUCCUCAGCGAAGACUCCAUCCCUAAAAUUGAAGGAAACAUUGUCUUUUAAGGUUCUCUAUCUUGAUCUGGUUGGUGGAUCAUGGCUCUAACUUAAAAAUUCCAGAUUUUUGAAAUUGGGAGAACAACAGAGACUUUCUACUAAGCCUUAUUUUUCUGAAUUAAAAACACCAACUAUUUUUACUGUGGAGUGAUUUCAUAACAUAAAGGGCACUUCAAAAUCCUGAAAGUAUAAUCUCAAUAAACAGCAAUCCCUAAAUACAUUU
Molecule: long non-coding RNA, 2573 nt
Organism: Myotis daubentonii (Daubenton's bat)
Lineage: Eukaryota; Metazoa; Chordata; Mammalia; Chiroptera; Vespertilionidae
Exons: 3
Source: RefSeq, a predicted model, not a curated record